RNAcentral lists this transfer-messenger RNA (137 nucleotides) under Polaromonas sp. Its description in RNAcentral is "partial transfer-messenger RNA". It matches the Rfam family "transfer-messenger RNA", at positions 1 to 142 of the family's 374-position model. Rfam says of the family: Bacterial tmRNA, also known as 10Sa RNA or SsrA, is named for its dual tRNA and mRNA-like properties. Its role is to liberate the mRNA from a stalled ribosome. To accomplish this part of the tmRNA is used as a reading frame that ends in a translation stop signal. Lineage: Bacteria; Pseudomonadati; Pseudomonadota; Betaproteobacteria; Burkholderiales; Comamonadaceae. The record is from RNAcentral. RNAcentral also lists the same sequence under 1 other name.
GGGGCUGCAUUGGUUUCGACGUGGGUUCGGACGCGGUGUGGUGCAUGUCGAGCUGAGUGUGCUCGUAAAACUGAUUCAAACAAACUAACUGCAAACGACGAACGUUUCGCACUCGCUGCUUAAUUGCCAGUGAGCUU